GGGAGGGCUACCAUGCAGUCGAACGGUAACAGGAAGAAGCUUGCUUCUUUGCUGACGAGUGGCGGACGGGUGAGUAAUGUCUGGGAAACUGCCUGAUGGAGGGGGAUAACUACUGGAAACGGUAGCUAAUACCGCAUAACGUCGCAAGACCAAAGAGGGGGACCUUCGGGCCUCUUGCCAUCGGAUGUGCCCAGAUGGGAUUAGCUAGUAGGUGGGGUAACGGCUCACCUAGGCGACGAUCCCUAGCUGGUCUGAGAGGAUGACCAGCCACACUGGAACUGAGACACGGUCCAGACUCCUACGGGAGGCAGCAGUGGGGAAUAUUGCACAAUGGGCGCAAGCCUGAUGCAGCCAUGCCGCGUGUAUGAAGAAGGCCUUCGGGUUGUAAAGUACUUUCAGCGGGGAGGAAGGGAGUAAAGUUAAUACCUUUGCUCAUUGACGUUACCCGCAGAAGAAGCACCGGCUAACUCCGUGCCAGCAGCCGCGGUAAUACGGAGGGUGCAAGCGUUAAUCGGAAUUACUGGGCGUAAAGCGCACGCAGGCGGUUUGUUAAGUCAGAUGUGAAAUCCCCGGGCUCAACCUGGGAACUGCAUCUGAUAC
RNAcentral lists this ribosomal RNA (600 nucleotides) under Escherichia coli. Its description in RNAcentral is "bacterial SSU rRNA". It matches the Rfam family "Bacterial small subunit ribosomal RNA", at positions 41 to 633 of the family's 1533-position model. Lineage: Bacteria; Pseudomonadati; Pseudomonadota; Gammaproteobacteria; Enterobacterales; Enterobacteriaceae. The record is from RNAcentral.